GAACAAGGAGCAACGACAUGAGUGCUUCUCUCGAACAGAAAAAGGAAAAGGCCGAGAAUAGGAGCUAGGGUUUGAAUCGCCAUCUCCCUGGACAAGGGGAUGCGAUGGGGGCGGGAGGGGCGUGGGCCAAGGGGCCGCCCGCGGCGGAGCGCUGUGCCAGGCGCGGCGGCAGGGGACCCGUGGAGGACGGGGCGCGCGUGCAGUGGGUGUUCGUCAGCUGCCCCGGGGUGGGCAAGGCCACCUACGCCGGCCGCCUAUCGCGGCUCCACGGCGUGCCCCACAUCAACACCGGAGCUCUCCUCCGAAAGCCCCCUCUCCAGCGCGCCGCCACCAUCAGCCCCACCCACCGCGCGCCGCCACCAUCAGCCCCGCCCACCGCACGCCGUCGGCCAACCCCCCGCCGUGGAGCGCCGCCACCGCCUACCCUCCUCCCAUCGGGACCCCCCUGGAUCCAAAAAUCCAUCCACCCAGUCCUCGCCGCGAUUUCUAAAUCGAACCUACCGGCAGCCGGCGUACUGGCGGGGUGUGGGGAGAGAUCCAGAUGGUGACGGCGGACCAGAGGUCGGAGGCAGCGAGGUCCGACAGAGAAGGGCGAGGUGCGGCAGAGGAGGCGAGGGGUGGGCUGGUGUUGGCGACGAACAGCGGCUGGGUCGGGCGCUCGGUGAGGCAGAGGCGCGGGGGCACAGCUGCGCAGGGAGGCUGCCACCGCCGAGACAACCCCUCAGCACGCCAAUGCCCGCGGGCCACAGACGCGGCGGCCUUGACAUCUCAUCGAUGACGCACAUCGGCGUGCUGCUUGAGCGUGAGGGCAAGGAAAACAUCGAGCAAGCGGUCAUCCGGAAGGCGGCGGCGCAGAGCCUCGUGGAGCAUGCAGAGGAGGAGAUGCAUCUGAAACGCCUUACCAUGAGCAGACUGCCGAAAUUCUUCAUAGAGGCCUCCACUGACUGACAGAGGUAAAGGCAACCGCUGCUAACUGCUCUGCCACAGGGGUGAAGCCAGUAGUCAAUGGGUCAUCUCCGUACUCCAGGUUUUGAAGGUAAGACAUUCAAAGUCGGGCUGUAAACUCACUGGGGUCGUUUCUUAUCAUCAAUGGGGACUGCAUGUUUUGAACGGACCAUAUUUAUCCCAUAUCUAAUAGUUCUGAUGGCAAAUAGACACUGCUUUACUUUUAACUUUUUCGUAUGGGUGUGUCCUUUUAUUAAGUUAGGAAAUUGGGAUAUAUGUUGGUUUUGCAUUUGUGACACAGUAAAAGUUGUACUUGCUAAUGAUACCAGGUGGCAUCUUGAGAAUGUGUUAUUUUCUUGAAAUAA
Molecule: long non-coding RNA, 1310 nt
Organism: Aegilops tauschii subsp. strangulata
Lineage: Eukaryota; Viridiplantae; Streptophyta; Magnoliopsida; Poales; Poaceae
Source: RefSeq, a predicted model, not a curated record